RNAcentral lists this ribosomal RNA (406 nucleotides) under uncultured bacterium. RNAcentral describes it as "partial 16S ribosomal RNA". It matches the Rfam family "Bacterial small subunit ribosomal RNA", at positions 30 to 526 of the family's 1533-position model. The record is from RNAcentral.
AUUGAACGCUGGCGGCAGGCCUAACACAUGCAAGUCGAACGAGUGGCGGACGGGUGAGUAAUGUCUGGGAAACUGCCUGAUGGAGGGGGAUAACUACUGGAAACGGUAGCUAAUACCGCAUACCAUCGGAUGUGCCCAGAUGGGAUUAGCUAGUAGGUGGGGUAAAGGCUCACCUCGGCGACGAUCCCUAGCUGGUCUGAUAGGAUGACCAGCCACAGUGGAACGGAGCCACUGUCAAGACUCUGACGUGAGGCAGCAGUGGGGAAUAUUGCACAAAGGGCGCAAGCCUGAUGCAGUCAUGCGGCGUGUAAGAAGAAGGCCUUCGGGUGGUAAAGUCCUUUCAGCGGGGAGGCGUUACACGGAGAUGAAGCACCGGCUAACUCCGUGACAGCAGCCGCGGUAAUUC